CCCUCAUCUCUCGCUCUCUCCAGAACCCUCCGCUCCGCAUCGGCAGCAGCAAGAGAGAGAUUGGAACAGAUACAGAGAGCAGCAAGAACGCGAGCUGAAGAGGAGUGGCAACCAAGAACAAGAACCCCUCGAUCAGGAGCGGGAAAGCCACGACCCAGAGUUUCAGCAAUGUCUGGCAAGUACAUCAUCGCUGCCCUUGCUGCCUCCGCCGCCAUCGCAUAUGCUUCCGAUGUCCUAGUGGCACAGAAGAAGGUUUUUGGAGGCACAACACCGAGGACGGUGUCGGACAAGGAGUGGUGGGAGGCGACGGACAAGCAGUUCCAGGCCUGGCCUCGCACCGCAGGGCCGCCGGUGGUCAUGAACCCCAUCAGCCGCCAGAACUUCAUCGUCAAGGAUAUCAAGCCUUGAUCAGGUUCAGGUGGUGAUGGUCAUGGUCUGAUGGCCCAAACUGGACACGAUGAUGUACUGAUGGUUGUAGCUACAGGCUGCCUGUGCUGUGUUCCCGGAUUCGUAGUACUUGGUCUGAAUAAAUCAGUGCUACCUUUCGUCUAGUGCGGUCUUGUCUCUUCAGAGGCAUAUUUCCUUUAGACAUUUGUCAUCCUGGAUGAUUGUUCUUAUGCUGUGUAGCCAGUAGCCUGAACUUUGUGCCUGUGCUCUGUCUGUGGUUGUCGAGUGAUCUGUCGCGCUGGGUGACUGGAAUAUGUGCCUUGUCUCCGAUGCAAGAAAAAAGAAGAAGAUCUGGGGCAGCUGUUUCAACCCCAGCUUCCA
Molecule: long non-coding RNA, 768 nt
Organism: Setaria italica (foxtail millet)
Lineage: Eukaryota; Viridiplantae; Streptophyta; Magnoliopsida; Poales; Poaceae
Exons: 4
Source: RefSeq, a predicted model, not a curated record